This 430-nucleotide long non-coding RNA is filed under the name Marmota monax (woodchuck). The record is from RNAcentral. Lineage: Eukaryota; Metazoa; Chordata; Mammalia; Rodentia; Sciuridae.
UUUCUUUCAGGCCUUGAUCUCGGCUGUAGCCACGAGACAACUAAAACGGCGUGCCUCCCCCUCGACCAUAGAUCUCCGCCGACCCUUUGGUAACUGGUUCGACAGAGCUAGCGAACUCUACGCCCCGAGACUUCUUGAAAUCCGAAAUGUGGAUACUGCAGGCGGACAGUAGCCGGAAAGCAGAAGAGGCCUGGGCUUGGGUUGCGAAAGCGAUAUUUUAAAGCCUAUAUCGAGGGUAUUGGGGAUGCAUUCCAGAGCCCCGAGGAAAAGUGAAAGGCGAGAUGACACUUAACUGAAUUGGGGUGAACAUUGGAACCCGGGACUAAACUGUGCGCUUGAGCAAUGGAGGGAGGAAAACUAAACCCGUGUGCAGUAGAAAUGAAAAACCUGCGGAGAAGGUUUAGAAGGUGGGGGCUGCUCUUCGCCUCUC